NNNNNNNNNNNNGCUCUACGAGUCUGGUAAUUGGAAUGAGUACAAUCUAAAUCCCUUAACGAGGAUCCAUUGGAGDGCAAGUCUGGUGCCAGCAGCCGCGGUAAUUCUAGCUCCAAUAGCGUAUAUUUAAGUUGUUGCAAUUAAAAAGCUCGUAGUUGGACCUUGGGUUGGGUUGACCAGUCCGCCUUGCGGUAUGCACCAGUCGUCUCAUCCCUUCUACCGGGGAUGCAUUCCUAGCCUUAAUUGGCCAGGUCGUGCCUCCGGUGUUGUUACUUUGAAGAAAUUAGAGUGCUCAAAGCAAGCCUACGCUCUGUAUACAUUAGCAUGGGAUAACAUCCUAGGAUUUUGGUCCUAUUAUGUUGGCCAUCGGGAUCGGAGUAAUGAUUAACAGGGAUAGUCAGGAGCAUUCGUAUUUCAUAGUCAGAGGUGAAAUUCUUGGAUUUAUGAAAGACGAACCACUGCGAAAGCAUUUGCCAAGGAUNGAAAGUUUGAGGCAAUAACAGGUCUGUGAUGCCCGUAGAUGUUCUGGGCCACACGUGCGCUACACUAAUGUAUUCAACGAGUCUAUAGCCUUGGCCGACAGGCCCGGGUAAUCUUUGAAAAUUUCAUCGUGAUGGGGAUAGAUCAUUGCAAUUGUUUGUCUUCAACGAGGAAGUCCUAGUAAGCACGAGUCGUCAGCUCGCGUUGACUACGUCCCUGCCCUUUGUACACACCGCCCGUCGCUCCUACCGAUUGAAUGGUCCAGUGAAGUGUUUGGAUCGCAGCGACGUGGAUGGUUCGCCGCUCGUGACGUCGCGAGAAGUCCACUGAACC
This 813-nucleotide non-coding RNA is filed under the name Nelumbo nucifera (sacred lotus). RNAcentral's name for it is "Eukaryotic small subunit ribosomal RNA". It matches the Rfam family "Eukaryotic small subunit ribosomal RNA", at positions 479 to 1785 of the family's 1831-position model. Lineage: Eukaryota; Viridiplantae; Streptophyta; Magnoliopsida; Proteales; Nelumbonaceae. The record is from Rfam by way of RNAcentral.